RNAcentral lists this ribosomal RNA (237 nucleotides) under uncultured bacterium. RNAcentral describes it as "partial 16S ribosomal RNA". It matches the Rfam family "Bacterial small subunit ribosomal RNA", at positions 115 to 353 of the family's 1533-position model. The record is from RNAcentral.
GUCUGGGAAACUGCCUGAUGGAGGGGGAUAACUACUGGAAACGGUAGCUAAUACCGCAUAACGUCGCAAGACCAAAGAGGGGGACCUUCGGGCCUCUUGCCAUCGGAUGUGCCCAGAUGGGAUUAGCUAGUAGGUGGGGUAACGGCUCACCUAGGCGACGAUCCCUAGCUGGUCUGAGAGGAUGACCAGCCACACUGGAACUGAGACACGGUCCAGACUCCUACGGGAGGCAGCAUG